AGCUUUGCGCAGUGUCAGUAUCGUAGCCAAUGAGGUUUAUCUGAGGCGCGAUUAUUGCUAAUUGAAAAGGUAAAUAUAUUUCAAUCUUUGAAUCUCCAACUUACAAAGCAAUGAUUACCUUCUACUAAAAA
Molecule: small nuclear RNA, 131 nt
Filed under: Tupaia belangeri chinensis (Chinese tree shrew)
Lineage: Eukaryota; Metazoa; Chordata; Mammalia; Scandentia; Tupaiidae
Description: Tupaia chinensis (Chinese tree shrew) U4 spliceosomal RNA
Rfam family: U4 spliceosomal RNA
About the family: U4 small nuclear RNA (U4 snRNA) is a component of the major U2-dependent spliceosome.
Source: Rfam by way of RNAcentral